This 322-nucleotide ribosomal RNA is filed under the name uncultured eukaryote. RNAcentral's name for it is "partial 18S ribosomal RNA". It matches the Rfam family "Eukaryotic small subunit ribosomal RNA", at positions 1470 to 1796 of the family's 1831-position model. The record is from RNAcentral.
CCCUUAGAUGUUCUGGGCCGCACGCGCGCUACACUGAUGCAUUCAACGAGCCUAUCCUUGACCGACAGGUCCGGGUAAUCUUUGAAUCUGCAUCGUGACGGGGAUAGAUUAUUGCAAUUAUUAAUCUUCAACGAGGAAUGCCUAGUAGGCGCAAGUCAUCAGCUUGCGUCGAUUACGUCCCUGCCCUUUGUACACACCGCCCGUCGCACCUACCGAUUGAAUGUUUCGGUGAAGAUUCCGGAUAGGACUUUUUUGAUUUAUUUCAAUUUUGUCUUAAAAGCUAUCUAAACCUCAACAUUUAGAGGAAGGUGAAGUCGUAACA